UUUUUUAAUUGUAAACUAGGAUGAAAGGUAGAAAAUUUAAAGGAAUGUUUUAUUUAAUAAUUUUGAAGUUAAAUUAAAAGUAAAAAUUCUUUUAUUAUUCUUUGGGACGAGAAGACCCUAGAAGCUUUUAAUAAUUCUAAAAAUUUUUAGUUGGGGCAAUAAUUGAAGAAAUAAAUUUUUAAUUAAUUUACAUUAUAUAUAUUAUAUAAUAAAAAGGAAGUUACUCUAGGGAUAACAGCGUUAUAUAAUUUACAAGUUCUUAUUAAUAAUUAUGUUUGCGACCUCGAUGUUGAAUUAAUUUGUAUAUUUGGUGAAGGAGCUUUAAAUAUUUUAGUCUGUUCGACUAAUAAAAAUUACGUGAUCUGAG
RNAcentral lists this ribosomal RNA (367 nucleotides) under Triglochinura langei. RNAcentral's name for it is "partial large subunit ribosomal RNA". The stretch from base 231 to 367 matches the Rfam family "Bacterial large subunit ribosomal RNA", at positions 2473 to 2609 of the family's 2925-position model. The record is from RNAcentral. Lineage: Eukaryota; Metazoa; Arthropoda; Arachnida; Opiliones; Gonyleptidae.